CCUACGGGAGGCAGCAGUGGGGGAUAUUGCACAAUGGAGGAAACUCUGAUGCAGCGACGCCGCGUGAGGGAAGACGGUCUUCGGAUUGUAAACCUCUGUCUUAGGGGAAGAAAAUGACGGUAACUAAAGAGUAAGCUUCGGCUAACUACGUGCCAGCAGCCGCGGUCAUACGUAGGGUGCGAGCGUUAUCCGGAGUUACUGGGUGUAAAGGGUGCAUAGGGGAGCGUGAUAAGUGACUGAUAAAUUGACCGGCAAAACUGCUGGCUGCGUUUAAAUCUGCUUAUCUUGAGUGCAGUAGAGGUAGGCGGAAUUCCUAGUGUAGCGGUGAAAUGCGUAGAUAUUAGGAGGAACACCAAUGGCGAAGGCAGGCUGCUGGGCUGUAACUGACGCUGAGGCACGAAAGCGUGGGGAGCAAACAGGAUUAGAUACCCGAGUAGUC
RNAcentral lists this ribosomal RNA (439 nucleotides) under uncultured bacterium. RNAcentral's name for it is "partial 16S ribosomal RNA". It matches the Rfam family "Bacterial small subunit ribosomal RNA", at positions 338 to 795 of the family's 1533-position model. The record is from RNAcentral.